Molecule: long non-coding RNA, 249 nt
Filed under: Coffea arabica (coffee)
Lineage: Eukaryota; Viridiplantae; Streptophyta; Magnoliopsida; Gentianales; Rubiaceae
Description: long non-coding RNA (CARA_LNC000072)
Source: RNAcentral
UUAACUUUAUUUAGCGUUCACACCACCAGGUAAGUUAGUUUCAUUGUUGAUAAUUUGUAAAUUGUUGAAUUGAUCCCAUAAAUUGGAAUUGUAUGCAAUCUUAUAAACAAAGGUAAAGUACACUUUGUGACACGAGAAGCGUAAUCCAAAUGAAGAAGUAACUCGAACAAUUUCAUGAAUCCAAAUCAAAGAUUGGAAGAACAGAGAAAACUCUCAAUUUUAUUUAGGGUUAAUUUCACUGUGUCCCCC